RNAcentral lists this ribosomal RNA (396 nucleotides) under uncultured bacterium. RNAcentral's name for it is "partial 16S ribosomal RNA". It matches the Rfam family "Bacterial small subunit ribosomal RNA", at positions 338 to 731 of the family's 1533-position model. The record is from RNAcentral.
CCUACGGGCGGCAGCAGUGAGGAAUAUUGGUCAAUGGACGAGAGCCUGAACCAGCCAAGUAGCGUGAAGGAUGACUGCCCUACGGGUUGUAAACUUCUUUUAUAUGGGAAUAAAGUGAUCCACGUGUGGCUUUUUGUAUGUACCUUAUGAAUAAGCAUCGGCUAACUCCGUGCCAGCAGCCGCGGUAAUACGGAGGAUCCGAGCGUUAUCCGGAUUUAUUGGGUUUAAAGGGAGCGUAGGUGGGUGGUUAAGUCAGGUGUGAAAGUUUGCGGCUCAAACGUAAAAUUGCAGUUGAAACUGGCAGGCUUGAGUGCGGGAGAGGUAGGCGGAAUUCGUGGUGUAGCGGUGAAAUGCUUAGAUAUCACGAAGAACUCCGAUUGCGAAGGCAGCUUACCG